ACAGCCUGAACCUUGGAGAACACCUCCCUUUCAUAUGACUUCUGCAAAGGGCGUGUUUCAGCUCACAGGGACAAAGAGUCACUGCACCAGAGAACCAGAAAGAGUUACAGACACGGCUCACAGGCUUAAGCGUCUUGCUGUAGGUCAUACGGCAGGUUAAUGACAACACUGGGGCAAGAACACAGGUUACGCUCGUCCUGGGGAAGGCUCCCACACCAAGCUACACACUUCUGCAAUGCUGUUCCAGAUGUGAAAAUCCGCUAAGACAAAUAGGUCACAAAAACACCAUGGGAAACGAUGAUGUCUUUUCCUUUUUGUUAUCUUGAUAAAGCUUCAUACAUGAAUGAUAAAAUGGAAAUUUCAGUUGAGGAACUAAUAAAUCAACAGAUGUCUUACUCCACAACGAGGUGCAAGAUCUUGAGGCUGGAUUUAGAAAGAGGAAGAGAAGACCAAUUGCACAGCUCAUCACCCCUCACCCAUCUGAUGAUAUGAAAGGUUUGAAGGAAGCCAGAGCUGGAGCAAGAUUUUCCUCAGAUGAGUUUUGAUGAACUACAAAGAAUGAAGAUGCUCUCCCUUGUCAUCCCCAGUCAAAGAAAAGGCACUUUAAAGAAAUCACUCACGAGCCAGAUAUUGUGGUUGUAUUUUGGUGGACACAGUGAAGUCACGUCUGGCUCGCUCCGCAAAUACUGGGAGGUCUGGAUUCUGAUUGAUACACAAAAGCUGCAUUCCCACAUCAAGGGAACUCCGAGUGUUCACCCUCCGUGGUAAGGGGAGACUGGGAGACCCCACAAAAGCAUCCCAAGAGAGGAAGAGUCCCUUUACACACCUGCUGCCCCGUGUGUGGAUGCCCACUGAGCACGGAAGUUGUCAAGGACAAAAGGAGGAACUAGCCCACCAAGCAGGUUUAAAGGGAGUGUCGGACACAAAAAUGACAUGCCCCAUAUUGCAGUCUAGAAGGAACAACACGGUGAAUUGUCUACUGCAGAACACUUCACUCUGUCUCGAUUACUACAUGGUGAAUUGAAGUUCCAGUAGAGAGGGAGUUGAGCUGAUACUGAGGAGGCUAAAACACCCAUAACCAUCAUCUUUGAUAAAUACCCAUCACUGUAUACAUCUACUUCUUGGAAUUUGCAAGGGAACCAGUCAACAGAUUUUUCAAGCCUUAUAAGUUUAUCUGCCUGAGAAGUUCACCAGCUACAUAACAUCCUGGACUCUGGAGCCCAAGAGAUGUGUAGUUUCCAUUUUGGAGCCAUUUUCUUUGAUAAAUAAGUAGUGAGGCUGCCAUUCUUGUCAAAGUUGAGGACCACAACCUUACUCAUGAAACUGAAAGAUUGUUUGUUAUGAGGAGUUCUGUUUGAGCCAUACAAGCAAUAUAUCCUUUUUAAAGAAAUGUAUCCGGAAUCUUAGGUGUUCAUUGCUCCAAGCCAUGUGCAGAAUAAAAAGAAAACAAAAAACAAAAAACAGGAAGUGUGAAUAUUUUUGACCAAUACAGUGAUUACACUCCAUUCCCCAAAAGAUUGCCUACAAAUGUGUCUAAGCUAGAAAUCAUCUACAGUCCAUACUACGGGGUGGAUCAAUGGUGAUUUCAUCAGCACCAGCCCAGCUGCUCCAUGACAGAGAGGCCUGCAUGCCGCCCUCCAUCUUCCACCUGUCCACGGCUGACACACGGUGGGAAAGGGUUUUGCUGACAUUGGUGAUCUGAGCUGAAAAUGUGAAGCCACCUUUUGGCAUAUAAUUCAUAUUGGUUUUUC
Molecule: long non-coding RNA, 1751 nt
Organism: Homo sapiens (human)
Lineage: Eukaryota; Metazoa; Chordata; Mammalia; Primates; Hominidae
Source: Ensembl